GGCGUAGCCCCUGCCUCCUCCGCGUCUCCCUUGGAUGGCCAGCCGGUUUCCGAUAUGUGAAUCGGUAGCUUCUUGUAACCUAAGGAUGAUAAAGCAGAGUAAACGGCGUCGAUCUGAGCGAACAGCAUGUUAUCGUAGUGGAGAUUCGAGGCUGGAUCUACAAUGCCUUGGUUGGGCUGGAAAAGAACGAAAUCUAAACUCACUUGCUUCGGAUUCCCCUUGUAUGCGAAGUAAGGGUAAGCGUUGAUCAAGAAAGGAGAGCCAGUUUUCGCGUGGAAAUUUAAGAUAGGAGUCACACAACCGACCAGAUCUCGCCGGAAAGCUCCGGCCGAUGGAGGAUAAGAGGUCUCGAGAAUGGCUAGAGAGUGAGCCGUGGUCACACUCACCUGCUUGUCUAGUCCAAGAUUCACAAGCGCAGUGUGGACACUUUGCAUUGCAGGAAGGAGGUCAUCGCUGAGAGAGGUGUCGUUGAAAG
This 475-nucleotide unclassified non-coding RNA is filed under the name Hevea brasiliensis (rubber tree). Lineage: Eukaryota; Viridiplantae; Streptophyta; Magnoliopsida; Malpighiales; Euphorbiaceae. The record is from RNAcentral.